CCUACCCAUAGGACACCAGGCCGGCUUCGGCACUUAAUGCCCGCCAACGCCAGAGAUGGGCCUGACACUUAGGCAGCCUUGCAAAGUAGAGGACACACAGAAGUUCACAGAAAGGUGACUGAUACAACAACGUAGAGGACCCUGCAAUGUGGAGAGGCAUGAAACUGGAGGUCCAGUGCCGUGAGUUAACAAUCAAGACGUCCAUACAGGAGAUGCAUUGGUGGAUGGGUGAAGAGAUGAUAAAACGGAUAAUUCAGUGGUGAUCUUCAGAAGAAUUCCACAAAAAACCAAAUUAACAGAUGAAACAAUCUCAUAAGCCACUUGAAACUGAAUUUCUCUAGAACAAGAGUCUAUAAAAUUUUUUGAUCAAACACCCACUGGAAAAAUUUUUUAGCGUGGACACCCAGUAUUUGAAGUUCUUGGUAAAUUACUGUGAGUAAAGAUUUAACCAACCCCUUGUCCUUAUCUAUGAACAAACUUCACUUUGUGUUAACUUUAACUUGUCAUAGAAACCUUAUGAAGGCAGAGUGUUCAUUGUGGUAUAAAACAACAUUGGUUGUAGGCCAGGCGCGGUGGCUCACGCCUGUAAUCCCAACACUUUGGGAGGCCAAGACAGGUGGAUCACCUGAGGUCAGGAGUUCAAGACCAGCCUGGCCCACAUGGCAAAACCCCAUCCCUACUAAAAAUACAAAAAUUAGCUGGGUGUGGUGGCACAUGCAUGUAAUCCCAGCUACCUGGGAGGCUGAGGCACAAGAAUCACUUGAACUCAGGAGGUGGAGGUUGCAGUGAGCCGAGAUCACACCACUACACUCCAGCCUAGGUGACAAGAGUGAAACUCCAUCUCCAAAUAAAUAAAUAAAACAUUGCUCAUGGUAAAAAUGACCUCUGACAUGUAGACUGCCUCUGGCUUGAAAGUACUGAAUAAUCUUAAAACACCUAGUGGGAAGCCAUACCUUUAGCCUCUGUUACUGUCUUAACUGAAUGUGGGAAUCUAAAAGACAAACUCAGGGAACUGGUUUCCCGCCGGUCAAGGACUUCCAAGCCAAGCCCCCACCCAUAAUGGUUUGCUCCUGAAUUGCAUUUGGGCCAAAGAGUAGAGCUCUUCCAUGCCUGUACCGCAGUGAAGUGUGUUUCUUCUCCUCAGUCCUCCAAAGUGGAGCUGCUGCCAGGCGUGGCAUUAUAUGAGUGUCAGGGGUUAAACCUAAGAAGACUACCUAGUGAGCGCUGCAGUUUCAUACAUAUCCUACUGAAAAUCUUAAAAGCAAGCUUUGCUUUUUUGUAAAUAAAGCGAAUAUAGAAGUCUUUCUCGUCUCAGUAAUGAUGAACUGGAAAUUCUGUUCCCCUCCUCCAACAAAACAGAUUCUGUGGAAAACAUUUUUUGUUGUAUUGCUAGGUUUUAGGAAUAAUGUUUCCAAAGGAUCAAGAAGGAAGCAAAACGCUGGGCACAGUGG
This 1451-nucleotide long non-coding RNA is filed under the name Homo sapiens (human). RNAcentral describes it as "PREDICTED lncRNA (TCONS_00248067)". The record is from RNAcentral. Lineage: Eukaryota; Metazoa; Chordata; Mammalia; Primates; Hominidae.